GAUGAAGAACGCAGCGAAAUGCGAUAACUAAUGUGAAUUGCAGAAUUCCGUGAAUCAUCGAGUCUUUGAACGCACAUUGCGCCCCCUGGUAUUCCGGGGGGCAUGCCUGUCCGAGCGUCAUUGCUGCCCUCAAGCACGGCUUGUGUGUUGGGCCCCGUCCUCCGAUCCCGGGGGACGGGCCCGAAAGGCAGCGGCGGCACCGCGUCCGGUCCUCGAGCGUAUGGGGCUUUGUCACCCGCUCUGUAGGCCCGGCCGGCGCUUGCCGAUCAACCCAAAUUUUUAUCCAGGUUGACCUCGGAUCAGGUAGGGAUACCCGCUGAACUUAAGCAUAUCAAUAAGCGGAGGA
Molecule: unclassified non-coding RNA, 346 nt
Filed under: soil metagenome
Description: partial contains 5.8S ribosomal RNA, internal transcribed spacer 2, and large subunit ribosomal RNA
Rfam family: 5.8S ribosomal RNA (bases 1-120)
Source: RNAcentral